UAGGGAAUCUUCCGCAAUGGGCGAAAGCUUGCCGGAGCAACGCCGCGUGAGUGAUGAAGGUCUUCGGAUCGUAAAACUCUGUUAUUAGGGAAGAACAAAUGUGUAAGUAACUAUGCACGUCUUGACGGUACCUAAUCAGAAAGCCACGGCUAACUACGUGCCAGCAGCCGCGGUAAUACGUAGGUGGCAAGCGUUAUCCGGAAUUAUUGGGCGUAAAGCGCGCGUAGGCGGUUUUUUAAGUCUGAUGUGAAAGCCCACGGCUCAACCGUGGAGGAUCAUUGGAAACUGGAAAACUUGAGUGCAGAAGAGGGAAGUGGAAUUCCAUGUGUGGCGGUGAAAUGCGCAGGGAUAUGGAGGAACACCAGUGGCGAAGGCGACUUUCUGGUCUGUAACUGACGCUGAUGUGCGAAAGCGGGGGGAUCAAACAGG
This 429-nucleotide ribosomal RNA is filed under the name Actinomycetes bacterium. RNAcentral's name for it is "Actinobacteria bacterium partial 16S ribosomal RNA". It matches the Rfam family "Bacterial small subunit ribosomal RNA", at positions 355 to 776 of the family's 1533-position model. Lineage: Bacteria; Bacillati; Actinomycetota; Actinomycetes. The record is from RNAcentral.